RNAcentral lists this ribosomal RNA (512 nucleotides) under uncultured Escherichia sp. RNAcentral's name for it is "bacterial SSU rRNA". It matches the Rfam family "Bacterial small subunit ribosomal RNA", at positions 505 to 1015 of the family's 1533-position model. Lineage: Bacteria; Pseudomonadati; Pseudomonadota; Gammaproteobacteria; Enterobacterales; Enterobacteriaceae. The record is from RNAcentral.
GUGCCAGCCGCUGCGGUAAUACGGAGGGUGCAAGCGUUAAUCCGGAAUUACUGGGCGUAAAGCGCACGCAGGCGGUUUGUUAAGUCAGAUGUGAAAUCCCCGGGCUCAACCUGGGAACUGCAUCUGAUACUGGCAAGCUUGAGUCUCGUAGAGGGGGGUAGAAUUCCAGGUGUAGCGGUGAAAUGCGUAGAGAUCUGGAGGAAUACCGGUGGCGAAGGCGGCCCCCUGGACGAAGACUGACGCUCAGGUGCGAAAGCGUGGGGAGCAAACAGGAUUAGAUACCCUGGUAGUCCACGCCGUAAACGAUGUCGACUUGGAGGUUGUGCCCUUGAGGCGUGGCUUCCGGAGCUAACGCGUUAAGUCGACCGCCUGGGGAGUACGGCCGCAAGGUUAAAACUCAAAUGAAUUGACGGGGCCCGCACAAGCGGUGGAGCAUGUGGUUUAAUUCGAUGCAACGCGAAGAACCUUACCUGGUCUUGACAUCCAACAGAACUUCCAAGAGAUGGAUUGGU